This 497-nucleotide ribosomal RNA is filed under the name uncultured bacterium. RNAcentral's name for it is "partial 16S ribosomal RNA". It matches the Rfam family "Bacterial small subunit ribosomal RNA", at positions 28 to 507 of the family's 1533-position model. The record is from RNAcentral.
GAUGAACGCUGGCGGCGUGCCUAAUACAUGCAAGUCGAGCGAACAGACGAGGAGCUUGCUCCUCUGACGUUAGCGGCGGACGGGUGAGUAACACGUGGAUAACCUACCAAUAAGACUGGGAUAACUUCGGGAAACCGGAGCUAAUACCGGAUAAUAUAUUGAACCGCAUGGUUCAAUAGUUAAAGACGGUUUUGCUGUCACUUAUAGAUGGAUCCGCGCCGCAUUAGCUAGUUGGUAAGGUAACGGCUUACCAAGGCGACGAUGCGUAGCUGACCUGAGAGGGUGAUCAGCCACACUGGAACUGAGACACGGUCCAGACUCCUACGGGAGGCAGCAGUAGGGAAUCUUCCGCAAUGGGCGAAAGCCUGACGGAGCAACGCCGCGUGAGUGAUGAAGGUCUUCGGAUCGUAAAACUCUGUUAUUAGGGAAGAACAAAUGUGUAAGUAACUAUGCACGUCUUGACGGUACCUAAUCAGAAAGCCACGGCUAACUACGUG